GGAUAACCUACCCUUGAGACGGGGAUAACCCCGGGAAACUGGGUAUAAUACCCGAUAGAUCUCGAUUGCUGGAAUGCAUCGAGCUUGAAAGCUCCGGCGCCUAAGGAUGGGUCUGCGGCCUAUCAGGUAGUAGUGGGUGUAGCGUACCUACUAGCCUACGACGGGUACGGGUUGUGAGAGCAAGAGCCCGGAGAUGGAUUCUGAGACACGAAUCCAGGCCCUACGGGGUGCAGCAGGCGCGAAAACUUUACAAUGCUGGCAACAGCGAUAAGGGGACCUCGAGUGCCAGGUUACAAAUCUGGCUGUCGUGAUGCCUAAAAAGCAUUGCAUAGCAAGGGCCGGGCAAGACCGGUGCCAGCCGCCGCGGUAACACCGGCGGCUCGAGUGGUAACCGUUAUUAUUGGGUCUAAAGGGUCUGUAGCCGGCCGGAUAAGUCUCUUGGGAAAUCUGGCAGCUUAACUGUCAGGCUUUCAGGAGAUACUGUCUGGCUCGAGGCCGGGAGAGGUGAGAGGUACUUCAGGGGUAGGGGUGAAAUCUUGUAAUCCUUGAAGGACCACCGGUGGCGAAGGCGUCUCACCAGAACGGACCUGACGGCAAGGGACGAAAGCUAGGGGCACGAACCGGAUUAGAUACCCGGGUAGUCCUAGCCGUAAACGAUACUCGCUAGGUGUCGGCAACGGUGCGACCGUUGUCGGUGCCGUAGGGAAGCCGUGAAGCGAGCCACCUGGGAAGUACGGCCGCAAGGCUGAAACUUAA
This 756-nucleotide ribosomal RNA is filed under the name uncultured archaeon. RNAcentral describes it as "bacterial SSU rRNA". It matches the Rfam family "Archaeal small subunit ribosomal RNA", at positions 102 to 859 of the family's 1478-position model. The record is from RNAcentral.